RNAcentral lists this ribosomal RNA (233 nucleotides) under uncultured bacterium. Its description in RNAcentral is "partial 16S ribosomal RNA". It matches the Rfam family "Bacterial small subunit ribosomal RNA", at positions 100 to 334 of the family's 1533-position model. The record is from RNAcentral.
CGGGACGGGUGAGUAAUGUCUGGGAAACUGCCUGAUGGAGGGGGAUAACUACUGGAAACGGUAGCUAAUACCGCAUAACGCCGCAAGACCAAAGAGGGGGACCUUCGGGCCUCUUGCCAUCGGAUGUGCCCAGAUGGGAUUAGCUAGUAGGUGGGGUAACGGCUCACCUAGGCGACGAUCCCUGGCUGGUCUGAGAGGAUGACCAGCCACACUGGAACUGAGACACGGUCCAG